This 659-nucleotide ribosomal RNA is filed under the name uncultured bacterium. Its description in RNAcentral is "bacterial SSU rRNA". It matches the Rfam family "Bacterial small subunit ribosomal RNA", at positions 9 to 666 of the family's 1533-position model. The record is from RNAcentral.
GAGUUUGAUCCUGGCUCAAGAUGAACGCUGGCGGCGUGCUUAACACAUGCAAGUCGAACGGGGAUUACACGGCGAUGCGAUUUCGGUCAAAUCAAGUGCAAUCUUAGUGGCGGACGGGUGAGUAACGCGUGGGUAACCUGCCUUGCACUGGGGGAUAACACUUAGAAAUAGGUGCUAAUACCGCAUAAGCGCACGGUCCUGCAUGGGACAGUGUGAAAAACUCCGGUGGUGCAAGAUGGACCCGCGUCUGAUUAGCUGGUUGGCGGGGUAAAGGCCCACCAAGGCGACGAUCAGUAGCCGGCCUGAGAGGGUGGACGGCCACAUUGGGACUGAGACACGGCCCAAACUCCUACGGGAGGCAGCAGUGGGGAAUAUUGCACAAUGGGGGAAACCCUGAUGCAGCGACGCCGCGUGAGUGAAGAAGUAUCUCGGUACGUAAAGCUCUAUCAGCAGGGAAGAACAUGACGGUACCUGACUAAGAAGCCCCGGCUAACUACGUGCCAGCAGCCGCGGUAAUACGUAGGGGGCAAGCGUUAUCCGGAUUUACUGGGUGUAAAGGGAGCGUAAACGGCAGCACAAGUCUGGAGUGAAAUCCCGGGGCUUAACCCCGGAACUGCUUUGGAAACUGGGCGGCUGGAGUGGCAGAGGGGUAACCGGAU